Schistosoma curassoni is the source of this 108-nucleotide non-coding RNA. The record is from Rfam. NCBI's taxonomy places the organism in Eukaryota, Metazoa, Platyhelminthes, Trematoda, Strigeidida, Schistosomatidae.
GUAUGGUUGGUUCAGUGGUACAUAUACUAAAAUUGGAACGAUACAGAAAAAAUUAACAAGCCCCUGGACAAGGAUGACAUACAAAAUUGUGAAGCGUUCCAUAUAUUU